AACGAACGCUGGCGGCAUGCCUAACACAUGCAAGUCGAACGAGAUCUUCGGGUCUAGUGUCGCACGGGUGCGUAACGCGUGGGAAUCUGCCCUUUGGUUCGGAAUAACAGUUGGAAACGUCUGCUAAUACCGGAUGAUGACGAAAGUCCAAAGAUUUAUCGCCAGAGGAGGAGCCCGCGUCGGAUUAGCUAGUUUGUGUGGUAAAGGCGCACCAAGGCGACGAUCCUUAGCUGGUCUGAGAGGAUGAUCAGCCACACUGGGACUGGGACACGGGAGAGAGUACUACGGGAGGGGGAAGUGGGGAAUCUUGGAAAAGAGGCGAAAGCCUGAUGCACCAAUGCCUCGUGAGUGAUGAAGGCCUUAUGGAUGUAAAGAUCUUUUACCCGGGAUGAUAAUGACAGUAGCGGGAGAAUAAGCUCCGGAUAACUCCGUGCCAGCCGCCGCGGUAA
This 449-nucleotide ribosomal RNA is filed under the name uncultured bacterium. RNAcentral describes it as "partial 16S ribosomal RNA". It matches the Rfam family "Bacterial small subunit ribosomal RNA", at positions 29 to 523 of the family's 1533-position model. The record is from RNAcentral.